AGCUUGGUGAGCUUGGUGAGCUUGGUGAGCUUGGUGAGCUUUUCCAACCUGAAUGAUUCUAUGACGGAGCCUCCACGUGGUCACCAGUUUUACCUCAGAAAUGUAUUGAAAGGGUGGUGGCUCAGUACCUGCCCCACUUCAGAUCUUCUACCUGACUGGCUGAAAGUUUCACAAAUCACAGGUGAGACCUGCACAGAGAAGUUCUGCUACAGUUUCAUUUGGAGAUCUAGCAAAAACAGAGGAACUUAGUAGAAGAGGAGCAAAAUAGUUCUUCAUAAGUGUUGUAUUAACAAAUGUGUCAGAGAGAGCUUCUCUUGGCCUGCCGUAAGAAGAUUAUCCAGCAGGUGGAGUUUGACAGGAUGGUGUGCACAGGCCAAGUGGACAAGUGUUCCUAUAGAACUGAUUUUCUGACCAGGCUGCGUCAUGGAAGGGAAAUGUAACUUGAACAAGUACAGCUGUGGUGGAGGAACAUGUGUUCUAAGCCCUAAGACCUGCCUCUUGUAACAAGAUCUAGAACAACAAAGACGAGAGAAGGAAAUUAAGGAAAGAAAAAUGACUCACUACUUGUAUGUUGAAGAUCACAUUCAGAAAUAGUGAUGAGAAAGGCGUUUAUGUCAGGAAAACACAAUGGUUUGAGUGCUCAUUGAAAGUAAAUGCAAGAGCUGCCUUGGUAUUACUAAAAAUAUACUUUGGGAAGGACUCAGAAACAGGGCAUUUGGAAUGAAGAACUCAAACUGCAUUGUAGGCUGAACUAAUGUCUGAGAUUUAAAUGUAUGUGGGAGCUAUAUUAUAUAGUUCUGAAGCUGAAAGUGAUAAGCCUGGAUCUGAUGUGGAAUGUAAAGAAAUGAGAAAACUGGAUGCCAAGAGGUAUUUUCAGCAGCAGUAUUGCCAGUGCACCGAAGAAACCAGAGAGACAAGCAGGAAAAUGGGUUGGCUUUAUAAGAUGUGGCUCGCUGAUUUCUGAAGGCUUGAAAAUAUCUUGCAGAUUCUCAUGUUGACUGGCUACUGGGAACUGGGUGUAGUCCAGAAAGCUGGUGGCAGUGGCUUGGAAAUGCACAGAAGCAUAUAAUCUCCCAAAUCAAGCUUCUAAUGGAAACUGGGUGCUUCAUGGCCAAUGAAUCAGCUGAGGAAAAAUGCUCAGGAAUAAAAGCCCUCGGGAUGAGUACGAAGCAACAAAGAUCUUCAGAGUUACGCAAUUUGUAUCUUCAAAGUAAUGUUCCUAGGGAGAUUUUUAUGCCUUUAGGACAAAUUGUCUGAUGAACCUGCAAUGAAAAGUAGGACUUAGUCCUAGAGAACAAGAUUCCUAGUGGAUCUUUAAAUUCCACAACCGAAGCAUCUUAUGAGGUAAGGAGCAGCACACGAGGUUUUCAGGUAAGACAUUUUCCACAGUAUGAGAAUUAAGAGAAAAUGUGUUUUGAAAAUUCUACCCUCACUUGACAUUCAUUCUGCUAUCCAUUCUCAUGCACUGUCUUUAGGACUAUAUAUUCUAUGCCGUGUAACUGGACAGUGAUAAACGGCUCAACAAAGUUAAAAAUUAAUGAAGAAAGGGCAAUGAGAUGUUGUACUUUUAUAAUGACUUAUCUGGCUCGUACAAAUGAGAUUGUGUAUGAAAUAUAAUGUUAUCAAUGUAAUCUAUGUUACUUUGGACAUUUCCAUACUUAUGAUUCAUUAACAGUAACUGUUUUGCUAUGUAGCUUUCUGUACUGGUUAUGUUGCUUGGCAACAUUAAGUCCAAGAUAAUGAUGUCUUACUGCCUGUGAUUAAAUAAUGCUUUUUCCCCAUAUUGUUUAUGAUAUAUCUAGCUUAUUUAUUUUCUUGUUUGCAAACUCUGUUCCUUAUUUUUCAUGCCAAAUAUAGCAAGGUAUGUACACAUUCCUUGGAUAAUUCUAUACUUAAAAUUCACCGCAUGUAGUCCCCUACUGAAGUGAAUGCAAAUAGCAAAAUAGUAUGAUGGAAAAAUAAAACCAGUGCACAAUAAUGCAAAGAACAAAAAAUGGAGAGGCAGUCUGUAGAACUACCGCUGAUCCUGCUGAAUAAAUCCUUAAAGCCUUUUCAGCUGAAGUGCGUUGCUAAUAGCCGUGGAUAAUGCCCUGGCUCUGUGGUUUAAUUCUCCUCUUAAAUAAAUAAAUAGGAAGCUAUGGGGCUUGCCCAUAUGCAGUGCUAAACUUUGGAACUUGACCAAAAAAAGUGAAGUACUAUACGCUAAAGGGCAGUAAAUGUCUUCUGAUGCCAUUAGUAGAUAGGUCAAUGCAGUUUAAUAGUAUUUACAGUAGUACAUUGGACCUCAAUGUUAACAGUAUUCUGAACUAAUACCUGAAGCAUAGCAACAUUAAAAUUGAUAUCGGGUGACUAUUGAACAUAUUUUAAAUGAUUCUGUUAAUUCCCACAGAGCUUAUCACCAUGGUGACAGUGACAGAAAUUGAACGAACAGGAAAAAAAUUCAGAAUUGAUCCAUCCUAAGUGAGAUUCCAAUGGGAUUUAGAGUCAUGCUUUAAAAAUGGGAGCCAAAUUUAAGAGUUCAGCUGGUGGUAUCUUCUCUUAUCUUCUCCAAGGAGGGGUUCUGUCUGCAGGUUUGGUCUCUGCAUCAUACAUUGCUUUCCAGAUGGCAUCACCUAGGAAGUGAUGGUUUUGGAACAGAGGCCUAGAUAGUAAGCCGUGUGCUUCCAAUAUACUGGCAUUAAAUCAAUAAUUCUUCAUGGUUUAGACAUUUAUAACUGAAGUGUUAACACUGGUAUGGAUGCAGUAUGAGUGGAAAUGUGCAUGUGACAGCACCAGAAAUUAUAGCCAAGUAAAUGUUAAAAGAGUGUUGUACUGAACACUCAGCAUGCUGCUCCCAGGGCUCUUCACCCAGUUGUAACGAUGAGGAAUACGUUGUUAAGUCCACAUGAGAACACCUGCCCUCUACAAGACUCUGCAGCACUGAGGAAGACCCAGAAGGGUGGCAGAAAGUUGCAGCAUGUCAUGCAUACCAAUCCUUUGUGGUUUUCCAAUAGGAGAACGCGCCCUUCAAACCAACAAGGAAAAUAAUGGAGAACGUGCGGAAAGCUUGGCUACGACGCAUGGAGCUACUGGAGUCAGAAACAAAGCACUGGCUGCCAAAAACAGGAAGGAUAUUGCAGUCUCGGUAAGCAGGCUUCUGCUUCUCCUUAAGAGGAAUAAAGACCGAAUAAGACUGUUUCUCAAAGACUAAAACCAGGCCCCACAUUUUCCCUAGAUCUCUUUUUGCUUCUGAUGGACCUGUUGAAGCUCAUUGUCUUGUACUUCACAUCCCUCCACAGAUUCAACUCCAGAUGGGCCUCUGUUUAAAUGUAUCAGAGUAGCACACUUGCUUAUAUUUAAACCACGCAAAUGUUUUGUCCAAGCUACCACGUUUCUAUCAUUUGCAGACCCAGAACCGAUGAGCUGCUCUCCGCAAGUAAGUAAAUCUGAUAGAACUUUUCCGUAUUUAACAUCCGUCAAACUUUAAAUACAUCUAGUGCGGGUGUUUUUUGCUUGGUAGAGUCUUGAAAUGCUCCCUCUCUACCUGAGUUCAGAGCCCAAGUGGAGCAGUCCGUCUGUGUCCUGGGGAAGCUGAGCCACUGUGGAGGUUCGUGACCCUGUUUGCUUGCAGCAAGCCAGGCUUCCAGCCCAGCAGACUGUGGUUAAUGUUUGCAGAUGGAGAGGAUUUUGCUGCUGACUGCUCGAUUAAACACGUGACGUAAAAUAUCCUCGCUUCCGAGCAAAAGUUUGUUUUGGACCAGGAUACAUUUGGCAAUUAUUAAUUUUACCAAACAAUGUGUCAAAAUAGCAUAUUAAUGGUGAAGAUCACUGUUGUUAUCAGCUGUUUUCUUCUCCUUCAAACAGCAUCGACUUCUCAGUACUGUCUAAAGUCCUGACCUAAAGCUGGAGAGGUGUUACUUGAGUCACCACGUGGCUGUGAAUUAAAAUUAGGCAGGGAGUUUUUUGUGGACAUAAUAACUGCAGUCUAGUCUAUUUCCAUCAAGUUAGAUCAGUCCUUGCAAGGGUGACAGCUGUGGCCUGAAAGCUGUUUUCUUAAGGAUGGUAGUUCCAUUUUAUGGUAAUGUUUUGGAGGAAUCCUUCAUUAGGUAUCCUUAACAGUCUUACAUUCUCGAUCAAAGCACACGAAAGCCCACAGAAAUUCUCUCAAACCUUUAUUUCAUUUAGUGCAAGCGCCACGGGCAUCACAAUCACUUAAACAUUCUUUCUAAAUGUCUGUCAGAUUGCAUUCUGUAUUGGUCUGACCCAACUUCCCCACAUCUGAAAGGUCGUGUCAGGCUUCAUUCACUGUAUGUCAGCAUAGCCUCUGCUGACAGCCCGCGGCUAUAUGUGGAUCUCGUGAGGGUGGCUACAUGCCUUGGUUUAUUGUUGCUGGAAUUUGACCGAUAAGAUUAAACCUUGCCUCCUUUUCAGCCUGCAGAGGCAGUUCUUAAGCCAAUCAACUCAAACAUUGUUCUUCUCCAAUGCUUCUUCCUCACGUUUCAGAGUAGUACUGAAAUAUUUGUGAUUUCUGAAAGGUUUGCUGUUUUUCCUUAUUUAAAAACAAUACUGUCUCUGGCUACUGAUAUAAAUCUUGUUAAUGCCCCUCAUUAUCGCUUCCCAUUUGGAGCUGUUCUUGAUUUGCUUUUCCUUUUGGAAGCGGUCUCUUUAUAAACACCUUUUAUAGAAAGGGGAAGUCUUGUAAUUUUUUUUGAAAAAAUCUAAUUUCAUUUCUCAUUAUCACUUCAUCUGACUCCGGAGCUCAUCUUGAAUUCAAGUAGUUCUUUAUCCCAUCUUAGUUUUCCUUUUCAAGAUAUUACUUUUACAAUUGGAAUCUGACAUCCCUUUUGAAACGGCACUUAUAACUGUAGGUGGUAUUCAACCAUCACGAAAGGCAGCUGGCUCUUUACGUGCAGCGAUUACCCUUGGGAAUAAAGGCUUCUCUCCACUCUUACUCAGAUGCAGGAAUAUACUGGGAAAACAUAACUGGACUCUUGCAUCAGACCAGCUUUGACAGUUUUAUGCAGUUCACUUAUAUUUGGCUACUGUACAAGGAAAAGAAACUGGAUGCUUUAAUGUGAACUUUACUAUCAUAAAAAUAUCACUGCUGAAUCGCUGCAGUAUUUCAUUGGAACAGCAUCAUUUGAAACUGCAUGUAGAAGGUGAUGGGCAAUUGAACAUAGAAAGAAAGGUAGAGACACAUCUUGUUUGAGUGUGGAUGAUAUGUAUGUAAAAGUUUGCUGGCAGUUACAUCCAUAAACAAAUGCUUUGGCAAGGUCUGCUGUUACUGGUUCGAAGGAAAGAAAAGAAUUCUGAAAGUCUCACUACAACCCCCUGAAAGGAGGCUGUGUGAGGCGGGGUCGGCCUCUGCUGGCAGGGAACGGCCAUAGGACGAGAGGGGAUGGCCUCACGUUGUGCCAGGGGAGGUUCGGGUUGGCUGCUAGGAACAAUUCCUUCUCCAGAAGUGAUUCUGCACUGACACAGCUGCCCAGGGAGCACUGGCGUCACCUGCAGGAGUCCCAGAUGUGGCACUGAGGGAUGUGGGCAGUGGGCACAGUGGGCUGGGGUUGGACUGGGUGAUCUUGGAAGUCUUUUCCAACCUUAGUGAUUCUAUAAUCAAGUAAAGGCAGUUGUACCAACAAAAAUAAUUUGAUAUUGGCAUUAUUGUGCUUAUGUGGGAGAAACAAUAGAGAAUUAGCAUAAAAAAGCCCUGAGAAUAAGAUUUACUGGUGUUUCUAAAUCAGAACUUUUUUUUUUUUUUUUUUUAAGUGGGGAUUUAAACUGAUUUUUCACAAGAUAACUACUGCUGAGUUUGCUGUUUUCUGGGUUUUUGUUUCUGUCCAUGAUUUGUCUUCUGCUGGCCUUGAAAUCUAGUUUCUGAAAUUAUCUCUUAUCAAAUUCUCUUAUCUUGGUGUUAUUACUAUGAUUUGUUAUUUCCAGCUUGGCAGUCCUGCUUAAGAGCAUACACCAUUUGCAUUCAGUUAAGCUAUUAUUUGCACUAAGUUCAAGUGCAGCAGCUUUUCUCUUUUCCCUGGAACACUCUUCACAUUUUAAACACGUAAUCAUUCUAGAUCACCUAUUCCAUAGCUUGUGUAACUCUACAAAAAUCAAAUUUGCUGUAGGCAGUAAACCAGCCUAGAGCUGAAAUACUGAUUGUGACCCUUUGGAAAGAUGUAAAGAGUUUAUCAGAAAAAGCGUUGUGUCCUUUUGACAAUGUCACAAUUAAUUAUCCUCAUCCCAUUGUAUAUCUAGCAUGUAUAUCACUAUCAGUUGGCCAAGGCAAGCAGAAAUAUGUUGUUCUUCUGUAUUUCACAUAUAAACUAUUUUAUGCUUAGGCAGGUGUUGUUAUUAAAGAGUGGGUGGAAUUGUGAAGACUUACCACAAAACACUACUAAGGUCAUACAUUUCUUAGCCCACCAUUAAUCUGAAAUUUUUACACCUUAACCGUUACGCUUCAUAUCUUCUGAUGUCUUAGGAUCUGUGUUUAAUAAUAAUAAUAAUAAUAAUAAUAAAACAACCGGAUGAGAAUAUAUCUACAGUAAAUUAUAAUACAUCUACAGUAACUUACAGCUGAUGUUGUAGUUGUUUAUUGUGAACUUUACCUGCUGCAUCUAGAUAUAUGGCUCAGUGUUGGGGGAGUGAUACAGAGCCGUUCUGUCAGCUCUACUUUAACCUCAUUACUCCUGUUUUUUCCCUGAGGCUAUUUCUACCCCAUUUUGUACAACUAGAGCAAUGCGAGGAGACCGGAGUUUUGCUAGGAGUUGAGUCAAAGGCGUGGACUACAAGUUUACCUCCUCUUUUGGUGUCUAAAUAGCUGGCUUUCCUUGUCAGAAGAAACAUUUGGUUAUUAAAGCCUGAGAAGGUAUGCUCUAGGUGUUUCUUUCAUGUUUUUAAAUCUGUCAUGAUCAAACAAUAUUUUCAUUGUAAUGUUGUUAUUCGAUUUUAAGAUUGAAGGAAUACAUACAGGAAAUGGAUUAACAUGGUAUUUCUGUUUACUACACUAUUUGUUAUCCAGGAAAAAACUGUUUCUAAAUGUCACUUAAGUGACUUCCAAAGAACUAAACUGUUUACUACACACUUGAUUUCAGAUUGAUGUUAAACUGGUCAUAAUAUCUUGUUUAUUUCCCCACAUGUAAAGCAAAAUAUGUUCUCUCUAAAAUCCACACAAAUCUCUGGCCGGAUGUUAGAAAUGAAAAGCUUAUGGAGAACAGUCUAUGGUAAUUCCCUUCAUAGAUAAGAACCUUCUUAGACACGGCUUCCUAUUUAAAAGAACAUUAAAAUGCAACUGGAUUUAAGUGUAAAAUGAGGCAAUAUUUCUAAAACUCACUGCUAGAAUAAUUACAUGUGAAAGCAGAUAUUUGAUGAGCACUCUUUACAUACACCGCAGCGAUAGCUUAACACUUGAAACUGAGCACAUUUAGUAAGUAUUAUCUUCACAAAUCACAUCUUUGGGAUAUUGAUUUGGAUACUAAAAAUGAACAGAUCUGAAAUGAAUGACCACUUGCGGUCCUGCAUUCUGGCACAACUCUAGCUGCAUUUGAUGCAUUUCCAUUUCCAGUUGGUUACUAGUUUAGGAACCUGGGCAGAUUUAUCACUCUUGGAAGUACAUUUCGGCUUCUUGCCUCAUCAGCAGCAAGAUAUGAGACACUGACAUAUGCUGUUUUAAAUAACAGCUGCUUAUUGCUGUUCAAAUUUUUCCCAGUAAUGGCGAUACAUUUUACUGAAAUAAUGAUGCUACUGUUAUCUCAUAAUUUUAGAAAUUUUGUUCAAAUUUUGUUCAAAAGUGCAGUUAUCAACCACUGUGUGAGUGAACGCUGCUUUUAAGAGUUGGGACUCAAACAUGAGCUUCCCCCUUGUUCUACCCCUUUCAGAUGCUCUGCAUUCACUGGUUGCCUAUGUGUGGGUGCCUGGCUACCAGGCUGACGGACAGAAGAUGAGCCAUGUUUGUGGCACAACUGCUUUCUUUCUGUGGCCUUUUUUCCACUUGGAAAAGUUGCCCUCUGGCAAGCUCUUUAAGCAUUCCUACAGGCAAAUACAAACCUCACUGCUUGCCAAAGGAUGCCCCUCUCUGGGAAACCCAUGAUUCAUUCACUGCCUGACCCUUACCUUGUGCUCCACUACACCAACGUGAGUGAGGCCUGUUCCUUCCCACCCAACAUCAACUCAGGGGACAAUUAAACCAUGUUGAGGUCCUGCUGGCCUCCACAGCAUUGCUUUGGGUAGGUUCUGAUACCACCACAGCCUGCCUUCUGCCUCCUGAGCCUCCUUACUGGAGGCUCCAGUAAGAGCUCCUAUCCAGGCAGGCUCUUACUGCCCAUCUCCAAAGGUCCCUCUACGCAGUGAGUGCAUGGAGCAUGGAGCUCUGCCAUCCAAGAACUGAGUGGAUGCAGUCUGUCAGUAAACACGAGCAGCAAUGAAGUAUUUAAGAUAACUUUACAGAUUUAUCAGCAGAUAGAUCACAUCCACGUUGUAACAAUGAUGGGACAGGGUUUGUGACUGUGAUGGAGGCACUAAACCUCUGUCCUGAUAACUUGCACUGUGAGAUGCAUUACCUUGUUUUGAAGCAUUAUUUCUCUGUGGUUUUCAAAAAAAUGUUUGCUAAAAAUAAAGCUAACAGUAAGGGUGCAUUUUGUUCUAAAACUGUUUUGUUUCUAUUCAAACAACAGAGUGUAUUUGGAAGACAAAUUUUCUUAAAUUGCUAACUAAUAACGUAAUUCUUUUUCUUUAGAGAUAAUUCUAACACCUUAAUAACCCUGUAGGAUACUUAUUAAAGUACAAGAGAUUAAAUUCACAGUACAGGCCUCUUCUUAAAAUGACUUCCAGGAAGGCAUCACUGUAGGAGAAAAAGAUUAAAUUCAUUUUCCAGCCUGUAACAAAAGGCAGAAUUCAGGUGCAUAGCUGUAAGCACCUCCCUGAAUACCCAUAAAUUAAAUAGUGUUUUUCCAGCCAGUCAUCAGUGCCCAAGACUGUUACGCAUUAGUUGGUGGAAAGUCUGCCUUUUCAACUGGUGGGUGACUGGGAGUCUUGGCCAUAUACCAGCUUCAAUGCUUCUUGCAUACGAGUGCUGUGGAUUUAUGAUAGAGAGUAGCAGGACCUUGGUCAGGAUUGUGUAGGGGAUCCGUGGAACGGGAUACACAGCGUGAAGAGCUUUUGCAUCAAUGUACAGCUAGGCACUGGGACAGGUUGCCCAGAGAUGUGGUUGAUGCCCCGUCCCUGGAGAAUUCUGGGAUUUGUGAUCUAAAUAUUCCACUUUCUAUAUCAUAUUCUAUAGCGUGAAUGACAUGUAAGAUGAUAGGCAGUACCACGAAAGCACAAAAUGCAAUUGAGGAGGAGGACAUUCUCAUUAGCAGCAUUCAGGCUGGGUAAUCCCACGGAAUUCGUACUCCCAAGUUGCAAACUCAUUUUUGCAAGUGAUGUAGCAAUUAAAUGGAAACAGCACACACAAACGGUUGCGAUAUACAGUUGACCAAAGGUAAAGCUGUUAUGUAUACACAUAUAUUUUUUUUCUCAUGGGAAAUGAGUAAUUUAGAACGAUUUAGCUGAGAGCAAAUUGUCAAAGUACCCAACUAGAAAAAGCCACGAGCACCCCAGUGUGAGCUCAGUGCCAUCCUGUUUUUGGCAGGAACUUGGAUCAGAGAACCCUCAUGGGCCCUCCUGCCACAGGGAGGCUCUGAUUCCUUGGUUCUGUACAAGUUGUAACUCCAUAUGUGUGCCAAGCGCCAUCUCACUAAUAUUAAUUAGCGCCUGCACUUCUGUAACUGAAGUGUGCCUUGGCAAGAAGUUUGCCUCCAAUCUACAAAAGCUGUGCAGAAUGGAUUAAUUUAAAAUAACAGAGUAAAAGAAAACAACAGUGAGGAUACCAUUGAAUAGAUGGCAUUGUUUGGGGGGAGAAUAAAGAAAGAAUUGGAAAAGCAAGCAGUUUAAAAAAUAAUGUAGUUAUUUCCUGUUUCAGGUCACUUCAUAUUAGCUUUGCUCUAUAUAUAAUUUUAAAAUUUUGACCUGCCUUUCCAAUUCGUUUAUCAUGUAUCUACUCUCUGUGCUCAUUCUUUCAACUCACAACCAUAUCUCUAAGUUUUGUUCUGUUUUGUUUUUCCUGUCUGUCUGCAAAGAUGCUGUAAAAGAAAAACCAGAUGAAAUGGAAGAAUAAUGAACGUGGAUGUUCCCUCUGGUGAGAUCCAGAAUUCCUCAGUGGAGAAUAUGUGACCUUCUUUUAUUUUUGACACUUGAAAGCUUUCUUUAAUAAUAUCAUUUCAGCCUAAUUCUAUACAGCAACCAUGUUAGAUGUCUUUUGAAAGUACUUCCAUCUUUUAUUGUUUUUAGAAACCAAUUAAUUUGCAGCCCUACUAGUCCCAGUUGCUCAGCUGGAUACUGGUGAUUUGGCAUAGCCUGUUGUCGUGAGUCACCCAUUUAUUUCCCCUUGCAGUCAGAGCAGAUUGAGCACAGAUGUAGAUGUGUGCAACAUCAAUGGAAGAUUCAACACAGCGAAAUGCAUCCUUUUACCUCUUCUUAUGGUUACUCCACGUGACCCAUGCUUUAACAACUAGUACUGCAGAUGAAUACCUUGCUUUCUUCUGCUAGAUCUGAUUGCAUUAUUUAUUUUCUGUCCUUCCGAAGCCAUUGGAUGAUGCAGCUGUCUUGACUGUAAGAUGGUGGUGCACCUCCAGCGGUGGCCAAGGUCGCAAUGGUCACGCAUUACGUCAGUAUUGAAGAUAACCGCAUUACUUUCAUGUACUUUUCCUUGGAGCUCAUGGGUAAGCUCUGCUUUUUCUUUUUCUGUAUUGAGGUCACUUUGACUGUUGCAAUCUAUUUAUGUUUUCAAUUUCCAUUUUUCACUGAGUGCAUUGUAGGCUGAUCAGGAAUUCCACAUUUUCAAGGGGCGUACUGAAAAGCGAUUUCCUGCCUGAAAGUUUUCAUUGCGUAUUUUCUGAAAUACAUCUCAUUUCUUUCUGAUACAGAAUUAUUCAGACCAAGUAGUUCUGUUUCUGGCAGUCGUGAGUAGAGACCUGGAAAUGCUCAUGCAAGCACCUCCACCACAAAGUUCAUAUCAAAAACUCCAAAAAGCUCCUUCUCUGUUGUCUUUGCAUACAUUAACUUUUAUCAUAGGGUAUGAUUUUUGUAAACAUUAAUAUGAGGGCUGCUCUGAAAGUAUUGCCUCCUAUUUUAUGAGGUUGGCCCACAACAUCAGAGGCCGAUGUUGGUGGCCGUGUUACAGAUGGCAGCAGACAUGGAAGUGCAUAUGGAGCAAAGGUGUGACGCUGAAGUCCUCCAUGUGGAAAGAAUGACACUUAUUGAAUGUUGAUGGAGUGCAAACAGUGGAUGUGAGCACAGUGAGGGGUGGGUGGUGUGUUUCAGCAGUAGCAACAGCAACAGCAGGUCACCUCCGCUGCUGCAGAGUUUUCCUCUGCAAAAUGUAUUAAAAUCAGAAAGCUGUGAGAAACAUGAAUAUUUCGCCUUUCAUCUUUCUCUCCAAUCACCCCGCAGGACAAAGGAGCCUGCAGUUUCUUGCCUCCUUGUUAGCUCAUUUGCUCAAGGCAACAAAGCAGGGAAAUUACAGGCAGCACUUCAUCAAAUGCUUGUCAUCAGUUCACUCCCUCUCUACCUGUCACGAGGUGUAGUUUUAUUAACAGAAACUUGACCCAGGUAUGCUAGUAGCUCGAAAGCUCAAAAGGUGGGGUACAACUCUCCAAUAAAAGAUGAGUGAUGUGCAUUUUAUGUUUUGAAUGCAUGGUGGCAUAUCUGAAAGUGAACGUGCUUAUAGAAAGGCAACAUUUUGUUGAAUAUUGUGGAACUCAGAAGGGUUUUGCUAUGUGAUGUGAAUGAACAGGAGAAAAGACUUCAUGGUUAAUGUACAUGGGCUGUACGUCUGCAUUAGAAUUUCCUGCUGUGGAACUUGUGUUGGCACAGGAUUUAAUAAAAAUCAACAAGACUCAGCCAACAGGGCUUACUACACAAACAAGCUCUGAGAAGUGAAAAUAAUAACUACUGAGAUACAUUUUUUCAAAUUAAAUAUGAAAUAUUCAUAAACUCAUUUUAUAUGUUUAUACUUACUCUAUUAUGUUAUUGGCAUGGUAAAUUACUUUUGUUUACUGGCUACUCAAAUCAUACAUUUCCAAAUGCGAAAAGUUGUGUUUCAUUUGUUAAAAUGGUUAGAACCAGAGGAAAUAAUCUCAAUUUAAUCUCACAUUCUAAAUAAUGUUAUCAAGGAAUUGAAAUCGUAUAAUGAGGUUCAGAAUCUAAUCCACAUCACCCACAUUACACAGUCUUUGAAAUCAGCAUACUGACUGUACAAGUCAUUGUGUAGUUCACAGGCAGAAUUUAAACUGUUUUACAGGGCAGCAGCUCCGAAUUGCUUAUUUUGGCCAGGAUGGCUGAUGGUGACUUUAAUGCUGUGUGCAGGUGGUGAAUGUUCCAACAGCGUGCACUGAAGUUCCAGCUCUUCUUUGGAACAGCAGGGAAAGCACAGACUGAGAUAGCUGGUAAUUGUCCGAUGAUUUCACUCCACCUGGAGGAUUUGUGAUUGUUGGAAGAUUUAAGGCCUCUGGAAUCAACAAGUAUAAGAAGUGAAUGCUGAUCAUGCUCACACCAAAGGCGGUGACAUGAUUUCUUCUUGCUUCGGUGGGUCCAAUUAUACCAAGAGCUACUGAGGUACAUACUUUCUGUAUUUCCCAAAAUGAUGGCUGUUUUAGCUGUUUUUACAAAUGAAAAUGAAGAAUGCAUGCAAAUGUCCCGGAUGAGAAAAGAGUUUUCUCUGUCUUCCCUUCUGGUCCAAUAAACAUUGAUUUACAAAAUGUGGAACAGAUCCCAGAGGACUCUAGAAUAUUCAGUAGCUUGGUAAUGUGGCAAUGAUGCAGGAUAUGGGUUCAAGUAUCUGCUCUGCAUCAUAGAAACACAAACACACGUGACUUCAGCUAUGAUCCCUUUGAUUCCUCUUCAUCAGCUGGUUUCUCAUUUUACCAAGAUGAGAAAACUGUGUGUGGGCUACCAGAGAAUAUCAGCUGGCCAAAACAAAGACAUUGAGUAAUCACAGAGGAUAGCAGUGUACCCUUGAGAGCCGACCUAAUCUGAACAUUAAAACGUGCUUUGUAAAGAGGAGUUUUAUUCUAACUUGAGCUGGUGAGAAGGACAGCUCUGAGUAUUCUGUUCCACCAGUGGGUGUGGUGAGACUAUGGAUUUUGCUGUCAGGAAUUGCACCAUGACUGCAGAACAAGAGCACAGAUGCUGUGUUUGCUCCUCAGAAACCAGGACUUGGUACAAAGGCGGGCAUUCCUGUGCACAGGAAAAAGAGGCACUUUUCGCUGUUGUGUUUGUUUCACAGCGUUGUCACAGAGUCUCUCCCUCUGUCAGGAGCGGCUUUAUUUCACCAGAAGACCAACGAGCUCCCUCCUGACACAGCCUGAUACACAGCGCCCCGCAACACUGAGAAAAGGACCAGACUUUUCCUCUGCCAGAUGCAAAACUUUUACAGGAUAACCCACUCAUUGCUCAUGUUUUGCCUUAACACUGAGACCUGCUACCUGCACAAAUCCAUUGAGCUGCGAUUCCCAAGAGCACAUCUCCGGGCUCUCUGUGCCGUGGGUGAUGCUGCCCCUUUCACUUCUAAGCUGAGGCAGUUCUGUGCAUCGUGUGUAACACAUUGUCCUGCAGUACCUCACCACGCUUUCAUACUCUUCCACAGCAUCAUUUAUUGCCGUCUGAUCACUUGAUUAUUAUUAUU
Centrocercus urophasianus (Greater sage-grouse) is the source of this 13690-nucleotide long non-coding RNA. RefSeq lists it as uncharacterized. NCBI's taxonomy places the organism in Eukaryota, Metazoa, Chordata, Aves, Galliformes, Phasianidae. The record is from RefSeq and is a predicted model, not a curated record. The transcript is spliced from 16 exons.